AACGUAGGACGCAAGCGUUAUCCGGAAUUACUGGGCGUAAAGCGCGUGUAGGCGGUUGCGUAAGCCAUGGGUGAAAGCCCCCAGCUAAACUGGGGGAGUGCCGAUGGGACUGCGCGGCUGGAGUGCAGAAGAGGGAUGCGGAAUUCCGGGUGUAGUGGUGAAAUGCGUAGAGAUCCGGAGGAACCUCAGAGGCGAAGGCGGCAUCCUGGUCUGCGACUGACGCUGAGACGCGAAAGCAUGGGGAGCGAACGGG
This 253-nucleotide ribosomal RNA is filed under the name uncultured prokaryote. Its description in RNAcentral is "partial 16S ribosomal RNA". It matches the Rfam family "Bacterial small subunit ribosomal RNA", at positions 524 to 776 of the family's 1533-position model. The record is from RNAcentral.